UUGGGGAGCAAACAGGAUUAGAUACCCUGGUAGUCCACGCCGUAAACGAUGAUCAUUAGUUGGUGGCAAAAGUCACUAGCACAGCUAACGCGUUAAAUGAUCCGCCUGAGUAGUAUGCUCGCAAGAGUGAAACUUAAAGGAAUUGACGGGAACCCGCACAAGCGGUGGAGCAUGUGGUUUAAUUUGAAGAUACGCGUAGAACCUUACCCACUCUUGACAUCCUCGCAAAACUAUAGAGAUAUAGCGGAGGUUAACAGAGUGACAGAUGGUGC
Molecule: ribosomal RNA, 272 nt
Filed under: Mesomycoplasma ovipneumoniae
Lineage: Bacteria; Bacillati; Mycoplasmatota; Mycoplasmoidales; Metamycoplasmataceae
Description: Mycoplasma ovipneumoniae partial 16S ribosomal RNA
Rfam family: Bacterial small subunit ribosomal RNA
Source: RNAcentral